GAACUGGGGGGUUAACUUUUUAUCCUUUUGGAAUUUUAUUUUUUAACUAUUUUUAUUGGAUUCAAAUAGGGGGAGGGUAUUUGCUUAUUUAUGAAUAUUAUCUUAAGUAAAUGAAUCAAUUACCUAAAUGAUAUUGGGCAUAAAUAAGUGUCAAACCACAAGGCAA
This is a long non-coding RNA of Telopea speciosissima, 166 nucleotides long. RefSeq lists it as uncharacterized. Lineage: Eukaryota; Viridiplantae; Streptophyta; Magnoliopsida; Proteales; Proteaceae. The record is from RefSeq and is a predicted model, not a curated record. The transcript has 3 exons.